CCUACGGGAGGCAGCAGUGGGGAAUUUUGGACAAUGGGCGAAAGCCUGAUCCAGCAAUGCCGCGUGCAGGAUGAAGGCCUUCGGGUUGUAAACUGCUUUUGUACGGAGCGAAAAGGCUUUCUCUAAUACAGGGGGCUCAUGACGGUACCGUAAGAAUAAGCACCGGCUAACUACGUGCCAGCAGCCGCGGUAAUACGUAGGGUGCGAGCGUUAAUCGGAAUUACUGGGCGUAAAGCGUGCGCAGGCGGUUCUAUAAGACAGGCGUGAAAUCCCCGGGCUCAACCUGGGAAUUGCGUUUGUGACUGUAGAGCUGGAGUACGGCAGAGGGGGAUGGAAUUCCGCGUGUAGCAGUGAAAUGCGUAGAUAUGCGGAGGAACACCGAUGGCGAAGGCAAUCCCCUGGGCCUGUACUGACGCUCAUGCACGAAAGCGUGGGGAGCAAACAGGAUUAGAUACCCUGGUAGUCCACGCCCUAAACGAUGUCAACUGGUUGUUGGGUCUUCACUGACUCAGUAACGAAGCUAACGCGUGAAGUUGACCGCCUGGGGAGUACGGCCGCAAGGUUGAAACUUAAAGGAAUUGACGG
RNAcentral lists this ribosomal RNA (585 nucleotides) under uncultured bacterium. RNAcentral's name for it is "bacterial SSU rRNA". It matches the Rfam family "Bacterial small subunit ribosomal RNA", at positions 338 to 916 of the family's 1533-position model. The record is from RNAcentral.